This 459-nucleotide ribosomal RNA is filed under the name uncultured bacterium. RNAcentral's name for it is "partial 16S ribosomal RNA". It matches the Rfam family "Bacterial small subunit ribosomal RNA", at positions 338 to 795 of the family's 1533-position model. The record is from RNAcentral.
CCUACGGGAGGCUGCAGUGAGGAAUAUUGGUCAAUGGUCGGGAGACUGAACCAGCCAAGCCGCGUGAGGGAUGAAGGUACAGAGUAUCGUAAACCUCUUUUGUCAGGGAACAAAGGCGGGGACGUGUCCCCGGAUGAGUGUACCUGAAGAAAAAGCAUCGGCUAACUCCGUGCCAGCAGCCGCGGUAAUACGGAGGAUGCGAGUGUUAUCCGGAUUUCUGGGGUUUAAAGGGUGCGCAGGCGGUCUGUCAAGUCAGCGGUCAAACCCCGGGGCUCACCCCCGGCCCGCCGUUGAAACUGGCAGUCUCUAGUUGGAGAGAAGUAUGCGGAAUGCGCGGUGUAGCGGUGAAAUGCAUAGAUAUCGCGCAGAACUCCGAUUGCGAAGGCAGCAUGCCGGCUCCACACUGACGCUGAGGCACGAAAGCGUGGGUAUCGAACAGGAUUAGAUACCCCUGUAGUC